This 746-nucleotide ribosomal RNA is filed under the name uncultured Parvimonas sp. RNAcentral's name for it is "bacterial SSU rRNA". It matches the Rfam family "Bacterial small subunit ribosomal RNA", at positions 28 to 776 of the family's 1533-position model. Lineage: Bacteria; Bacillati; Bacillota; Tissierellia; Tissierellales; Peptoniphilaceae. The record is from RNAcentral.
GACGAACGCUGGCGGCGUGCUUAACACAUGCAAGUCGAACGUGAUUUUUAUGGAAAGCCCUUCGGGGACGGAAAUGAAAUGAAAGUGGCGGACGGGUGAGUAACACGUGAGCAACCUACCUUACACAGGGGGAUAGCCGUUGGAAACGACGAUUAAUACCGCAUGAGACCACUAAGACACAUGUUUUGGAGGUAAAAGAUUUAUCGGUGUAAGAUGGGCUCGCGUCUGAUUAGCUAGUUGGAAGGGUAAAGGCCUACCAAGGCAACGAUCAGUAGCCGGUCUGAGAGGAUGAACGGCCACAUUGGAACUGAGACACGGUCCAAACUCCUACGGGAGGCAGCAGUGGGGAAUAUUGCACAAUGGGGGGAACCCUGAUGCAGCGACGCCGCGUGAGCGAAGAAGGUUUUCGAAUCGUAAAGCUCUGUCCUAUGAGAAGAUAAUGACGGUAUCAUAGGAGGAAGCCCCGGCUAAAUACGUGCCAGCAGCCGCGGUAAUACGUAUGGGGCGAGCGUUGUCCGGAAUUAUUGGGCGUAAAGGGUACGUAGGCGGUUUUUUAAGUCAGGUGUGAAAGCGUGAGGCUUAACCUCAUUAAGCACUUGAAACUGGAAGACUUGAGUGAAGGAGAGGAAAGUGGAAUUCCUAGUGUAGCGGUGAAAUGCGUAGAUAUUAGGAGGAAUACCGGUGGCGAAGGCGACUUUCUGGACUUUUACUGACGCUCAGGUACGAAAGCGUGGGGAGCAAACAGG